RNAcentral lists this long non-coding RNA (4160 nucleotides) under Sus scrofa (pig). RNAcentral's name for it is "lncRNA (ENSSSCG00065075234.1)". Lineage: Eukaryota; Metazoa; Chordata; Mammalia; Artiodactyla; Suidae. The record is from RNAcentral.
AGAACUUUAAAAACUAGACCACAUUUUCCAGUCUCCUCUGAAGUCAGAUGAAACCAUAUGACUAAGUUACAGCCAGUGAAAGGUUAUUCCUUGAAAUACAUCUGGAUUGUUUAGGGAUUGAUGGAAACCUAUACCCAACUUCAUUCCCUCAUCCUUCUCCUGAGGGAACAGGUUGCUGCAGUCAAUGGACAAUAGCCUCGUGCUUCAAGGAAAUCUUGAGGAGAGAUGUUUCACCUGCAGGCAGCAAACAUGACUACAGACAGAUACUCUUAUUUACCACAAAGUAGUGGAUUCUGGAAGAACUUGGCUCAGAAAUGUAUCUGUACCCCAGAGGAGAGAUCAAGAGUAGAGUCUUGUAAAUGUGUGGUUCUUCCUCUAAGAGGCAGAGGGAGCUGAAUAGGCAGGCUGUGGCUUUCCCACGCCUGAGCUAGGAGCCAUACAUGGAGACUAGGGAGCAAGAGGCUUCCUCCAGGAGCAUCGUUAGGGGACUUGCAGCCUGUUUGCUUCUUUACCACUGACCAGGUAGGUAGAAACUAUGUCAUCUUUCUCUGCUUACUGAACUCCUGCUCUUAGGGCACUGGAUCUGAGUCCAAAGCAACCGACAAAUAAAAAAGGGGAACCUACUUAAGAGGAAGAUCCGUCAGAACAAGAGGAUCCGUCAGAAGAUCCUUGUGUGCAGGAAAACAGAGCUGCCGGAUGAUAGACAACAACUGAAUGAAGGAGGAGGGGUUGGGGAGGAGAGUGGGGAAGAGAAAGAAGGAGAAGACGAAGGAUGAGCAAGCUUCUAGUGCUCAAGGAAAGCAGUCUCUGAUGCUCACUUCAGAUGGGAUCAAAGAGAAAAUAGGGAAGAGAGCAUUGCAGAGGGAGGAACAAGGGCAGAUAGAGAUUGUUGCUGUGACAUAAUCUAGUACAUACUAACUCGCAUGUUAAACUGAAUUACAACAGUCUGCCCUUGCUGGAAUAGGUGUAGUUGAAAACAGCUGAAAAAUGAGAACUUCACAUGAAAAAAUGACUCUCAAUGUCUGGAAAUUUUUAAAGUCAUAAGUAUGUUGCUAAAUUCUCAGUGAAACCUUAGAAGAAUCAAGAAAAAGCUUGUGUGAGGAUCACAGUUUGUCCUGGGGUCAGAAUGGAAAGCAAAUUCUUAAAUAUCUCUUUGAGACCCUACUUGAAAUGAAUGUACUCAUUCACACAGCCUCAUCUUCUUGUUUGAGGAGCAUCACAGACAGUUUUCUGCAUGCCUUCUGAGUUCCUGCUUAUCCUUUUGGGCCCUUCCUUUUUUUUGGAUGAUGUUUUUCUGAUUAAGAGUUAGGACAAAAGGAAAUCUAUGACAUCCACCCCUUUAUGUCUUUCCAAACUAUCUCUUCCCCCAUGAAAUUUAGCAUAAGCUAUGGAUACAGAAAUAAAGAAACUGUCAUAACACAUAAUGUUGGGAAGAUAAGUGCAUUGUAUCACAGCCACUGGGGUUUAUAUUUUAUUAUUUACUGGAAAAGGGAAAACUCAUGAUAGACAGAUUCUUUUCUCAGGCAAAAGGAAGAUGUGAUGUGUGAGCAUGUUAUAGAGGAGAAUUUUAGGAUGUUCUAAAGUUUUCCUUGCAUUUAUUAAGGGCCUUGACCCACCUGAGCUGAAUAGUUUGCCUCUGAAGGAGCAUCUGUUCUAUAAAUUUUUGUUCUCUCACUCCUCCAGUCAUAGAACCAGAAUACACUGUGGCGUCACCUGGUCAAGGUUAUUUUUCCUUAGCAGUACAUAAGGGGUCCUUUAACUUGGUACUCUACAAGGAAAAUCUUAUUUAAAUAAGGAACUAAACCACCUCUACCGGUGAACUACAGAUAGUUUUCUAACAGUGUGCUAAGAGCCAGCCUAUAGAUGCUAAUAGUUAGCAUAAAUAUUUAUAAAGCAUACAAAAAUAUAUUUUUUAAUUUUAUAUAUAAAUAAAAACCAGGCAAUUAAAGAUAAGAUUUAGGUAUAGCUAUUGAUUGCUCUGAUAUUAGUUCUUCAUCUCCCCACAUCUGUGGAGUACUGAAGAACUUAGCCCAUGAGUUCAUUUUUUUAAUUGAGAUAUAAUGGACAUACAACAUUGUAUUAGCUUUAGGUGUACAACAUAGUGAUAUGAUAUUUAUAUAUAUUAUGAAAUGAUCACGACAAUAAGUCAAGUUAACAUCCAUCACUACACACCCUUAUAAUUUUUCUUCUGAUGUGGAUUUAAGUUCUACUCUCCUAGCAACUUUCAGGUAUACAAUACAGUAUUAAUUACUAGAGUCACCACUCUGUAUGCUACAUUUCCAUGACUUAUUUAUUUUAUAACUGGAAGUUUAUACCUUUUUACUUCAGGGAGCCCAUACAUUUAGAUGGUGAAAAAAAUUACAUCUUCACUUUCAUUAAUCUCUAGUAAAAUUUAGCAUGUCCUUCAAUUAUGUUUGUAGGCAACAAGCUACCACAGUAUUAGGAUAUCUGUGCCUUGUUACUGACAUGUUGAAAAUCACAUAUUUCCAUAUCACAUUAUAGAUGCUACAAAUAUCUCAAAAUACUGUUUACUCUCAUUACUGUUUUAAAACCACGUUAGUAAUUAGAUCCAUCACUAACUCUUGUUACCUUCUACACUAGUAAGAAGCACAUAUAUUACUAUUUUAUAAAAUUUUAAUUUUGGUAACUGUGUUCCUAAAUAAUUGAUUUCGGUUGAAAAUCUCAUGUAUUUUUUUUUUUUUGGUCUUUUUGCAAUUUCUUGGGCCGCUCCCGCGGCAUAUGGGAGGUUCCCAGGCUAGGGGUCAAAUCGGAGCUGUAACCACCAGCCUAUUCCAGGGCCACAGCAAUGCGGGAUCCGAGCCGCGUCUGCAACCUACACCACAGCUCACGGCAACGCCGGAUCCUUAACCCACUGAGCAAGGGCAGGGAUCGAACCCGCAACCUCAUGGUUCCUAGUCGGAUUCGUUAACCACUGCGCCACGACGGGAACUCCCAAAAAUCUCAUGUAUUUUUGACGCAAUUUAAAAUAUUCUUAGAAGGGGCCCACAGGCUUCACCAGAACGCAAGAUGUGUCCAUUGCACAAAAAUUUCAGAACCCUGCCAAAAGUGGUGAUGAUUAUCAAAUCAUAUUACUGUCUGUAUUUGGCAAAGUGGGCUGUUUUAUCUACAACACACUUUGUUCUUUCUGCAUCCCAAACAUUUAAUCAACAAACAUUUAUUGACUAUCUCUGUAUGCCUGGCACACUUCUAGAUGCUGGAUAUUCAGAAGUAACAUAAACAAGGUCCUUGCCUUCAAGGAGCAUAAGUUGAGUGGGAAGACACAGGAAAUAGAUCAGUAAAUAAACCCAACAAUUUCAAAUUGAGAAAAGUUCUGUAAAGGAAAUAAAUGGUAUUAAGUAAACAGAGCAGAGUGAGGGGAUCAGGAAGCUCUCUCUGAAAAGCUGUCAUCUGAAGGAUGAGCAUGUACCAAACAUGGGAAGAGGUGGGGGGAAUGUAUUCCAAGCAGAAGGAAAACCAAAUGCAAGCACAUCAAGGCUAUGAAAGUCCUAUGCUGGUUCAUGACAGACGGCCUGUGUCUUGGUCACAAUGCUGAUAAGUCCAGAAAGUUGUUUCUCCCUUGGUUUGCAAAUGCUGAACUCAUUAUGCCUCAGUAUUCAGAGUCUGUCAACUGCCUGUUGCUCUUACUCCUUUUCCCUUGCUCACACACAUCCAAGUAAGGCAGGAACCAUGGGAUUUGUAGCUCAUUGUGCAUCUCCCACAAAUGCCCCUGAAAGGCUGAAGUGGGAAGGAUGAUCAUCUUCCAGCUUAAGUUCUACCAGAAGCUCCCCAAUCCAGCUCCUGUUAUUUUUCUCACUACAAAUAUCCCGGCUCAAGACAGGAAAAGCAGGAGUGUAAAGAAGCACAUGGCUACACUUCCAGGGUAACACCCCACUGCACCCUAUUGGUAAUAACCUCUGGAAACACUUUAGGUCUUCCACUACAAUAGAAUGUCACAGUCUUUAGCUGUGACUAAAGAGAAGAUAUAUCUUCUCUCACUGAAGCAUGUAUGUGAUACAAAAAGACACAUGGUUGUGUCUAACACAGAAAACUAAUAAGUGUUAAUUAGGGAAUUAUUUCAUUUUUAAUGCUACUUUAAAAUUUUCCUAGUAAUGUAUUUUUCCUUUAUAGCUACCAUUAAAGACUAUACUAUGUGUAGUAGU